This 253-nucleotide ribosomal RNA is filed under the name uncultured bacterium. Its description in RNAcentral is "partial 16S ribosomal RNA". It matches the Rfam family "Bacterial small subunit ribosomal RNA", at positions 524 to 776 of the family's 1533-position model. The record is from RNAcentral.
UACGUAGGGGGCAAGCGUUGUCCGGAUUCACUGGGUGUAAAGGGCGCGCAGGCGGGUUAGCAAGUCAGAGGUGAAAUCCUACAGCUUAACUGUAGAACUGCCUUUGAAACUGUUAAUCUUGAGUGCGGAAGAGAGAGACGGAAUUCCAGGUGUAGCGGUGAAAUGCGUAGAGAUCUGGAAGAACACCAGUUGCGAAGGCGGUCUCUUGGUCCUUGACUGACGCUGAGGCGCGAAAGAGUGGGGAGCAAACAGG